This 862-nucleotide long non-coding RNA is filed under the name Homo sapiens (human). RNAcentral's name for it is "HSALNT0024695". Lineage: Eukaryota; Metazoa; Chordata; Mammalia; Primates; Hominidae. The record is from RNAcentral.
GUUAAGGUCAAUGGGAAACUACAACAAUCCAGGCAGGACUAAAAAUGGCCCAGACUCUUCAGGAAUGAAGAUUUGGGACACUCCAUCAGACCACUCUGGCCCGCCACACCCUUAUCCUGUGCCUAUAUAAACCCUAAACUCCAUGAGCAGAGGAACAGAAGAGCAUAAGAGUGGCAGAGUGGCAGAGCGGCACAGCGGCGUGGCAGAGAGGGAGCAUCUGAAUGUCAAGAGGAGUUCAGCUGGGGAUGGUCAGAGAGAUCAGCUGCGGGAUGGCCAAACUCCAGGUAAGUUCAUCUUCCCACUCCAUUCCCUUUCAAGCUCCCUAUCCAUCCUGCUGAGAGCCACCUCCACCUCCGUCACUCAAUAAAACCCCUACAUUCACCGUCCUUCAACUCCGUGUGACCUGAUUCUUCCUGCAUGCCGGAUAAGGAGCCGGGUACCAAGAGGGCAGGGUGUAAAAGGCUGUCAGCCUGACUCUCCACUGAGCUCGUUUAACACUUAGCCAUCCACGGACAGCAACUGCUAACACAGCAUUAAUUAUAGCGCGCCCUUAGAUGCUACUGUGGGGCCGGAGCCCAGAGCCUUCACCCUGGCUCCUGCACCUGCCCAUCUGGGUUCUCCCCCUCCCACUCCUGUCACAAGUCCUGCAAGGGGGUCAGGGAACUCUAUUGUUUCAGUAUAUAUAUGAGUGCCUAUGAAAUGCUUGCUUGUAUUCCCUAAGAAGUAGUCCUGCCCUAAGUUGAGGUAGAAAGCUGACAGGAGAGUAGAGGUUAAGUGAAACUCUUUGAGUUUAGGAUAAUUGAACGAGAAAGCAGCCUAAUGGAUGGUGCCUAUUAUUUGAAAUGUAUCCCCGUCUUGUCAG